Molecule: long non-coding RNA, 92 nt
Organism: Sander lucioperca (pikeperch)
Lineage: Eukaryota; Metazoa; Chordata; Actinopteri; Perciformes; Percidae
Exons: 3
Source: RefSeq, a predicted model, not a curated record
UGCUUUUCUCUCCAUUGUACCGAACUCGUACCGAACCGCGACGUCUGAACCGAGGUAUGAACCGAACCAUGACUUCUGUGUAGCGUUCCACC